ACAAAAACUGGUCUGGCGGUCGAAGUGUGAAAAGAAAGCUAGAUCAUCUUGAACUAUCAACUUAUACAGAUGAUAAAUUGUUGGAAAGAGAUAGACCCCAUUAUGGGGGAAGGCUCACUGUUCAGGAUAUGGAGAACAUUUCUUUUCAUGAAUCAGAACAAUGGAUCGAUAAGUAUAUUUCCUAUUCAGAUGAUGAGAAUCCCAGUCAACGUAUUCGGAAAAUAGAUCAGCUGCCGAA
RNAcentral lists this unclassified non-coding RNA (238 nucleotides) under Hevea brasiliensis (rubber tree). Lineage: Eukaryota; Viridiplantae; Streptophyta; Magnoliopsida; Malpighiales; Euphorbiaceae. The record is from RNAcentral.